Molecule: ribosomal RNA, 135 nt
Organism: Castor canadensis (American beaver)
Lineage: Eukaryota; Metazoa; Chordata; Mammalia; Rodentia; Castoridae
Source: Ensembl
GUCUGCAGCCAUACCACCCUGAAUGCACCCGAUCUUGUCUGAUCUUGGAAGCUAAACAGGGUCAGGCCUGGUUAGUACUUGGAUGGAAGACAGAUCUUCAGAAGAGACUGUUCGGAGACUAAAAAUUUGGAGACA